RNAcentral lists this transfer RNA (73 nucleotides) under Omnitrophica bacterium RIFCSPHIGHO2_02_FULL_45_28. RNAcentral describes it as "tRNA-Lys". It matches the Rfam family "tRNA". Rfam says of the family: Transfer RNA (tRNA) molecules are approximately 80 nucleotides in length. Their secondary structure includes four short double-helical elements and three loops (D, anti-codon, and T loops). Lineage: Bacteria; Pseudomonadati; Candidatus Omnitrophota. RNAcentral also lists the same sequence under 3 other names. The record is from RNAcentral.
GCGCCCUUAGCUCAGUUGGUAGAGCAACUGACUCUUAAUCAGUGGGUCGAAGGUUCAAAUCCUUCAGGGCGCA